CUUAUUUUUUCAUGCUCUUUCAGAUAAAGCAAUAAAAAUUUUUAUUGCCAUUACCCUGAUACUUUACUUUAAAUUUCCGUGUUUGGAUGGCCUGAUCUAAACACAGGUUUCGACCAAUCAGAGCACGCGUUAUAUAUACAUGCUAUUUUAUAAAAAAUCAUAACUUUAAAAAAUACGGUAUUCCGAAUCGAAUCCCAAAUAUCCUGCAUCGGAUCCUAACUAAAAAUUCCAACUCGAAUCUAAUAGGCUUCCUCAUUCAAAAUACCCACGAAAUCUGCAUAUUUUGCGGUCAAAUGAGCAGUCGACUGAGCGGUAUUACCAGCUGUGUUCGAAUUCGUACGGUUACAUACACGCCUUCCGUUACAUACACGCCAAGGGCGAAAUCGUGAAAAUUUGAGUGUAGUCUGAGAUUACGUUCGAAUGGGACGACAGGAAAUCUGAACCGAACACAAGUUUACAUCAUUUCGAUUUGCUUGAAGCCAGACGAGUUCAAGCAAAGCCAACGGGUGUCGAUUCCCGUGUCGGUGCAUGUGUACAGUAGCGGAAUUGAACCGACGAAUUUUCGUACUGUUCCGACAUUUUCGAGUCUCGCGCAUUAAACAUAGUUUGAAAAUGUGAACAAACUUACCUGCAGGUAAUUUACUUUCGUUCUGUUAUUUCAAUGUCUAUAUAGAUCUCGUGAUCCAAGCCGUGAUGUCGUUGCGCGGAACAGCCGGAUGUCUUGGAACGCAAAAGCCUCGAGCUGUUUUUAAAGUGCGCGAUCGAUGUGCUCAUGGGCCAUGAAUUUUACUCGUCCAUGAUUUAAGAUACAGCCUAUUGCAAUUGACCGUGUGGCGUGUAUAAACUAAACAUUUGUUUAUCCUUUCAAACUUGAUGUUUUUUGGAUGAAAGUUCACGUCAUUAAAUAAUUUAAUUUAAUUUAAUUUAAUUUAAUUUAAUUUAAUUGCUUUUCCAUCAUUGUGUGAUAUAGACAAGAACACAUACGCACCCACACAACACAAACACAAAUACAAACACACUAAACUGAUGGCUGGGUAACCACAACAGCCUGAAAAACCAAUUACUGUGGGCCCAAGUCAACUAUAGUGACGUAGGGCGAAAAAACAGAUUUGCACUAGGCUUUGCAAACCGGUGCAAAGGUGCCAUUGCCGUAAUCGCAUCAAAUUUACAAGGUUGCAAAUAUUUUGGCAAAUUUAGAAACCAAAUUAUGGACGAAAAUACCCACAAAUUCACUUGUGCAAAUGAAAAGUAAUUUGAGCCAAAUUUAUCCUAUGCCCAUUCCCUCUCAAAAAAGAGAAUUGUAUUUACCAAUAUGGGGGUAAAAAUUUAUUUACCAAUUUGCUUUCCAAAUUUGAACAAAAUUUGCACAAUAGCAAAUUUGAUGCGAUUACGGCAAUGGCACCUUUGCAGGGGGUUGCAAAGUUGGAGCAAAUCUAUUUUUUCGUCCUGUAUAUAUAUAUAUAUUUUUAGUAGUUUUUAAUUAUGAACCCGGCAGCGAAGCCUUGGCGGCUUCCUGCUAUAAAACGUAGACUGUAUAAUAUGUCAUGAUGAAUGAAUAGCCGAAUAUUCCACCGGCCGCCAAUAAUUACUUUUAUCGUAGCAGUGUUCCAUAAUCAAACAUGGUUCGUAUGGUUGGCAGCCAGGCGCGCGCCCUUGUGUAAUUCUUCGAGAAAAUCAGGAAGGGCUCCGUCCUAGGCAGUUCUCAUGAUCAUAUAUCGUUCAUCGGCGAAAAAUGGAAACUAGACUGAAAAUGUAUCCAUAGCCGUACGGGAAGGAAAGAAUUAGGGGGGCAGAAAGAAGUUUGCCCGACUUUUUCGGAUUGUGCGCGACAAGUGCUGAAAAAUCUUUUUUCCGUAACAAUUUAUUUUGGCGACCUCCCCCCCGUCGCCAAAAAAAUUUCGGUCAGUGUACCAUUUUAGGGGUCCAAAAAUUUUUCGGACGUACCAAAAUUUUUCGGAACAUCUAACAAAUUUUCCCAAAAAUCGAAAAAUUUACAUAAUUUCCCACAAAAUUGACAGAAUUUGUCCCAUUUAUUUUUAUAAUAACCAA
Molecule: long non-coding RNA, 2049 nt
Filed under: Paramuricea clavata
Lineage: Eukaryota; Metazoa; Cnidaria; Anthozoa; Malacalcyonacea; Plexauridae
Source: RNAcentral